This 27-nucleotide small RNA is filed under the name Bombyx mori (domestic silkworm). Its description in RNAcentral is "ovarian small RNA-13820". The record is from RNAcentral. Lineage: Eukaryota; Metazoa; Arthropoda; Insecta; Lepidoptera; Bombycidae.
CCGAGAUUGGGCCCUCCGCGCUUUGAA